Phacochoerus africanus (Common warthog) is the source of this 545-nucleotide long non-coding RNA. RefSeq lists it as uncharacterized. The transcript is spliced from 4 exons. The record is from RefSeq and is a predicted model, not a curated record. Lineage: Eukaryota; Metazoa; Chordata; Mammalia; Artiodactyla; Suidae.
GGGCAGCACCCCCUUUUUGCUGCCUUUCCAGGGAGAGCAGCAAGAGAAAGAAAGAGAGAGGCAAGCGAAAUUCCUGAAUGGAUAGACAGAUGCUACGUCAUCCGGAGCUGCGUCCUCCACUCCACAAGAGGCUAGGAGCCGGGAGAAAGAGGCAGUCCAGCGGCAGGGGCCACCAGCACAGGCUCUCCUCCUCACAGAAGCCGGGAGCUGGUCAUCCAAGAAGAAGCAGCCUCGUUUGUUUCGGGUGUCAUCGUAGGUGUCCACCUUUGGCUUUGGGGCUUCUUGCCUGGGACAGGUGGGUGCUCCACCUCCCUUCCCCUCCCUUCUUCCUCAAGGGCACCAGAGCCGUAUCCAGAACCAUGGACAGCUCCCAGGCGCACCCGGAGAUGAAGGUUCAGCCAUCGACAGACCAUACAGGCAGGGAGGUUGGUACAUCCAGAGUCUCUGGGCAAGGUUGUGCCAGUGAGUCCCUUAUACUUAACCCUCUCCCCGCCCCCCAAGCUCUCCUGUCCCUCACCUAUAGCCAAGGCCAUCCUAUGCCUUUU